RNAcentral lists this unclassified non-coding RNA (2643 nucleotides) under Hevea brasiliensis (rubber tree). The record is from RNAcentral. Lineage: Eukaryota; Viridiplantae; Streptophyta; Magnoliopsida; Malpighiales; Euphorbiaceae.
GAAUUUUCAAGAAAAAGAGGGGUCAAUUGACUCCUUAUUUUCUACACUACAUCCGCCAAUGUUUUGGAUCACAAAAUUAAAGUAAGUGGCUGGCUACAAAAACUACAUUUUGCAAAAUCUAUAUUUUCAAUAACAGUUCAAAACCUGCAUCAAGACUUUUUUGUUUAAGUAAUGUUGCUUGUUGAUUUCUCAUAUGUUUUUGAAACUACUUGAAAAUUUCAUUUAUAUUGGGAUUGCCUUUUUGGCUAGGAUUCUGCUCUCCAAAAGUAGAUUUUCAAGUAGUGGGGAGAACUUUUCUGAACGUUUAGUUAAGUUUGUGCCAUCAUUGAAAAUGUUUAUGACAAACUGUCCUUACUUGGAGACCAUUGGAACAUCAUUUCCUUAUGAUUUCAGUCAUUUCACCCAAAAACUUAAUCUUCAAUGCUGUACCUGCAUACAUGAGAGAUAUAGAGGACAAUAAAUUUACUUCUAAGCUUUCAGGGAAUUCGAUUAACAUAUCAGCAGUCUUUUUUAUUCACUGUGGUGAUAUACUUUCCAUGUCAUAUGGGAUAACCAUGUCUGAAGAUUUCCUUGUAAGAAUGUUUUAUUUGGCUUUGGUUGUUUCUGGGCAUCCAAAUUUUUAUCUUGACAUGAAAAUUGAUUGCAAGUAUGCAUGAUGGCAGGUAAGACAUGUUUCAUAGGAAAUCUUUCUGAAUUUAUGUAUGUUUGCUUGCUUUUAUUAAAUACCCCAUCUAGAAAAUCAGAUUCAGCUUGCAGAAACUUUUCAUGCAUCUAUCAUGAGCAAAUGGAAGAUAUUUUCACUUUACAUUAUGAACUAUUGCCCACUUUAUACAACAAGGCACGUCUAGUAUUUGAAAAAUUCUUGGUGCUUUCUAAUGAACUACUUCAUAUUUGAAGAAUUCUCAGUGCUUGCAAAUGAACUACCACAUUUUCUUUUUAGGGUAUGUCAUUCAACACGAGUACAAGAUCAGUAAAUGCUUUGUCACCUAUUACCUGAUAUCCUGCCUUGAGUGCUAGAAAUACAUGAUUAAGACUACUGACUGGCUUUCAUUUUUCCAAUGAAUGCAUGCACAGGAAGAGUUGGAGCUGCUUGAUAAGAUGGAAAAUGCCACAGCAGUAUGCAAGGAGUAAGUUCAUGAAAAAAUAAAAAUAAAAAUGAUACGCAGAAUGCUCAUAUGCUUAAUAUCCAAUAAUCGGGUUUUCAAUUGAUGCCAUUUGUUAUAUAAGAGUACAUUUUUAUUUGUGAGCUAAAUUUUGUUUUGUGUGCAUCAGAAUGCUAAGUAACGUGGAUACUAGACCAGACCCACUACUGCCAGUGUAAAUGCGCUUUUGUGAUUUGUUUUUUCUGCAUCAAUUUUCAAGCGAUUAUCCAUUUGACUUUCGACAUUUCUAAGUGCCUGUUAUUGUGGUCUGACAGAACAAAUGGCCCUCUAAAUCCAUUAUGGGAUCGGUGGUUUGAAGGCCCGCAAGAAUCACAAGGCUGCAGAUGCUGGAUUCUUUGAUAUUGAUGGCUGAUUUCAAGCAUUAAAACUUCGAUUGUUAAUUGUUGGCGGAGGCAUCAACUUACAGGCAUGCAGCAUUUUUCAGCAACACUUUUGUCAUUGGCAGAUGUUUGAUUGUGUAGAAAAUAACAAUUUUAUAGCAAUAUUUUCUUCAUUGGCGAUUCUAUAAUGAAAAUGCUUCAUUGUGCAACACGACAAAUUCUUCAUAUUAAUUCAAAUUCAAGGAACAAUCUACAGCAAUGGUGAUGAGUACAGUUUGAUAGUACACUGAUAAUUUUGUUUUAAUCAUCUUUCAAAUCCAUUACUAUUUGAAAAAUGAAACUUCUUUUCAAAUUGCUCCCUUUAUCUUCAACUGGGUGCCUUGCCAGUAACUCGCUGGGCAAUCCACCCUAGGCCAUCAUACAGACCUUCACCUGUAAGAGCACAGCAUGCUUGGAUGUGCCAAUCAUGAUUCUUUAUGCUGUGAAGAGAGAAAGCAUCGGUGAUCUCAGCUGGGGUCAUGGCAUCUUUGAGGUCUUGUUUAUUUGCAAAGACAAGUAUAACAGAAUCUUGCAGGUCCUCGUGUCCGAGCAAUCGGAAAAGUUCAUCUUUCAUAAUCGAGAUUCUGGCUCUAUCUGUACUAUCUAUCACCACAAUGACAGCAUGAGUUCCCCGAUAAUACGUUGCCCACGAUGUCCUGAGUCUAUCUUGUCCGCCAAGAUCCCAGACCUCAAAUCGAAUGUUCUUGUAAACAAGCUCUUCAACGUUGCUGCCAACAGUUGGGUGAGUAGUGACAACCUCUCCUAAGUGUAAUUUGUAAAGCGUGGUCGUCUUGCCUGCAUUAUCUAACCCAACCACCACGAUCUUGUACUCCUUUGCAGGAAACAACAUGAACCAAAACUUCGAUAUAAACGCUCCCAUCUUCUAUUUCAAGUGCUUUGAUUAAGGGAUUUGAGAUAGAGGGUACGAAUAUGAUGAAGGAUGGUAAUGGCUUCGCGUCUUGCAGGAGGAGGAGAGGACCCAAAUGCAAAAGAAAGCAGACCCCGAUUAGAUUGAUUUCGUGUUGGACAUAGACAGGGCGAUCUGUUUGCGAAAGUUCAGAAUAAGGAAUGGAAUGAUAUACCUCUGUUUUUCUUUUCCUUCCCUUUCGUGAAUGGGUUCG